This 253-nucleotide ribosomal RNA is filed under the name uncultured bacterium. RNAcentral's name for it is "partial 16S ribosomal RNA". It matches the Rfam family "Bacterial small subunit ribosomal RNA", at positions 524 to 776 of the family's 1533-position model. The record is from RNAcentral.
UACGUAGGUGGCAAGCGUUGUCCGGAUUUACUGGGCGUAAAGAGCGCGCAGGCGGUCGUUCAAGUCGCGUGUGAAAGCCCCCGGCUCAACUGGGGAGGGUCACGCGAUACUGAUCGACUCGAAGGCAGGAGAGGGUAGUGGAAUUCCCGGUGUAGUGGUGAAAUGCGUAGAGAUCGGGAGGAACACCCGUGGCGAAGGCGGCUCACUGGGCCGGUCCUGACGCUGAGACGCGAAGGCGUGGGGAGCGAACGGG